Arvicanthis niloticus (Nile rat) is the source of this 102-nucleotide small nuclear RNA. Lineage: Eukaryota; Metazoa; Chordata; Mammalia; Rodentia; Muridae. The record is from RefSeq and is a predicted model, not a curated record.
GUGCUGGCUUCAGUAGCACACAGACUAAAGUUGGAGCUGCACAGAGAUUAGCAUGGCCCCCUGCAAGAAUGACAUAAAAUUCAUGAAGCAAGUCAGAUCUUU